This 1661-nucleotide long non-coding RNA is filed under the name Neodiprion pinetum (white pine sawfly). RNAcentral's name for it is "uncharacterized LOC124218083". Lineage: Eukaryota; Metazoa; Arthropoda; Insecta; Hymenoptera; Diprionidae. The record is from RNAcentral.
CAUUAUCGCGAAUUAUGAAGCACGAGAAUUUCCUAGAAUCAUCACAUUAUAACAGUAAACUAUACACGAGUACAGUGUGCGUCUCUUCCAUCGGCAGAAAAGUUUCAUCUGUCACGGGUUGAGAACAAGAAUUGGUGUUUUAUUUCUUCCUAUUGCUUUCUGGAUCUUUAACUGUAUCGUGUUUUGUUUCAUCAAUUUUACAACCGCUCUGUAAAUGGGUAUCAAUUACGACCAGGAAAGAAGAGCGGAAAUCACUGGAAAUCACUCGAAACGCUGGAAAAUCAUUGGAAAUAAACGAAAAUCACUUCAGACAAAUGUUAAUGAACCGAAAUAAUUGAUUGGAUUCCCAAGUGAAUGGACAGAUCUUCUGGAACGAUAAAGAACGUUUCUGCGAUUGCAGAUGUCCGAAUGAAAAACGCGUUGUAUGUUGAUAGUCUAACAGGCUGUGUUGCAACUUGGAUCAACGACAUCUAAAAGCCAUGACCGACCUGUUGGGCGGACUUGUCGGAGCAAUUUGCAAAACAAAUAUCUAUAUGCCGAGGCCUUGGUGAUUACGGAAUGUGAAUGAAUGUUCCAGAACUAAAUUAAUUGUAAAUACGUUUCAAGAAAAUGGGUUAUAAUCUAAAGGGCUCCAAUCUCUGUGAAAUUUUACAAACGUAUUCGAUCAUUUUCUCGUAUCUAUGGAAUGUUUGAUUCGAUGCUGCCACUUCGGAAGCAAAUGUGGUCAAGAUUUGAAGAAUUUUUAAGAUUUGAUAAUCGAAGAAGGAAAUAGAAGCUUGAUCCAAGGAUGAGAAAUCUGUCACCUAAUCGUAAGUGGGAAUACGUGAUUCCGAAGAACACGCGAGGACGUUUUAUACCUACAUCAUUCCAGUAACGUGUAAUAUAAUACUCAAGGAAAGUGCGCGUCGUCGGCAGAGAGAAAUGAGUGCCAUGCCGUCGACUGGACACUUAUGUAAUUUUCCUCGCGGAGAAGUUAUACAAUUCCGGCGAGGUAGACGAACGCAUCGGAACCUCGCAGCAGCGGAACAAGGACGAGGGUUUACUUUGGUUAUUAUGUCGUAACGUGAAAGUUGAGGAGUUGUUGGUGUGGUGUUCUGCUCUUUCGAUGCAGGAUAUUAUAGCUUGACCAGUGUCGUGGACGGUUCCAUUAUCGAGAACGCACGGAGAAUGUGCGCGUGCCAUGUUUUUAUGGGGGUUGGGUAUGGAAAACUAAAGGCGGCUCGGAUUCUAUCGGAUUGAAUUUGUUCGCAUUUGCUCUUGGCCCGUCAAAAUUCCCUUGAUCAUCGUAUCUGACGUUAGUAAUGGGUAUGUUUCCAGCUCCUGAUUCUUGCCGAAUCGAAGCCUCGGUUGUCAGGUUCACUGCCAAUCACGUACCGAUUCGAUCUAUUUACGUAAGCAUUUCCUGUUAAAAAAAUUUGGUAUUAUCACGUCUGUGAUUAUUAAGAUGUGGAGCCAUUGUGAAUUGAUUAAUAAAGUUGCUAAUUUUUUCUCGUGAUGUAGUUAUCGUAUUAUGCAGAUAAUAGUAAACAUUGUCGGUUGUAUAAUUUCGUGCGUGACGACAUAUUGUAUUACCGAGAAGACGAGGAAUGCUAUCGGAAUGAAUGUGAUGAUUAUCCAUCAAAUUAUGGAGUGCAAGAUUCUCGUGUCAAUGUGAAAUUGUC